RNAcentral lists this transfer RNA (57 nucleotides) under Dipodomys ordii (Ord's kangaroo rat). It matches the Rfam family "tRNA", at positions 8 to 63 of the family's 71-position model. From Rfam's summary of the family: Transfer RNA (tRNA) molecules are approximately 80 nucleotides in length. Their secondary structure includes four short double-helical elements and three loops (D, anti-codon, and T loops). Lineage: Eukaryota; Metazoa; Chordata; Mammalia; Rodentia; Heteromyidae. The record is from Rfam by way of RNAcentral.
UGGCUCAGUGGUAGAGCGCUUGUCUUGCAUGCAUGAGGCCCUAGGUUCGAUUCCUUA